RNAcentral lists this ribosomal RNA (164 nucleotides) under Pallenis spinosa. Its description in RNAcentral is "5.8S ribosomal RNA". It matches the Rfam family "5.8S ribosomal RNA". From Rfam's summary of the family: 5.8S ribosomal RNA (5.8S rRNA) is a component of the large subunit of the eukaryotic ribosome. It is transcribed by RNA polymerase I as part of the 45S precursor that also contains 18S and 28S rRNA. Functionally, it is thought that 5.8S rRNA may be involved in ribosome translocation. The record is from RNAcentral. Lineage: Eukaryota; Viridiplantae; Streptophyta; Magnoliopsida; Asterales; Asteraceae.
UAAACGACUCUCGGCAACGGAUAUCUCGGCUCACGCAUCGAUGAAGAACGUAGCAAAAUGCGAUACUUGGUGUGAAUUGCAGAAUCCCGUGAACCAUCGAGUUUUUGAACGCAAGUUGCGCCCGAAGCCACUUGGCUGAGGGCACGUCUGCCUGGGCGUCACGC